AUGAAACAAGGAUUAUGAUUAAUCCAGUUCUGGGCAUUAGA
This 41-nucleotide small nucleolar RNA is filed under the name Pteropus vampyrus (large flying fox). RNAcentral describes it as "Small nucleolar RNA SNORD112 (ENSPVAG00000029768.1)". Lineage: Eukaryota; Metazoa; Chordata; Mammalia; Chiroptera; Pteropodidae. The record is from RNAcentral.